RNAcentral lists this ribosomal RNA (253 nucleotides) under uncultured bacterium. RNAcentral's name for it is "partial 16S ribosomal RNA". It matches the Rfam family "Bacterial small subunit ribosomal RNA", at positions 524 to 776 of the family's 1533-position model. The record is from RNAcentral.
UACGUAGGUGGCAAGCGUUGUCCGGAGUUAUUGGGCGUAAAGCGCGCGCAGGCGGUGCGGUAAGUCUCUGGUGAAAGCGCUCGGCUUAACUGGGCGAGGGCCGGGGAGACUGCCACGCCGGAGGGGAGCAGAGGCGAGUGGAAUUCCGGGUGUAGUGGUGAAAUGCGUAGAGAUCCGGAGGAACACCAGUGGCGAAGGCGGCUCGCUGGGCUCUACCUGACGCUGAGGCGCGAAAGCGUGGGGAGCGAACCGG